RNAcentral lists this ribosomal RNA (274 nucleotides) under uncultured bacterium. RNAcentral describes it as "partial 16S ribosomal RNA". It matches the Rfam family "Bacterial small subunit ribosomal RNA", at positions 523 to 796 of the family's 1533-position model. The record is from RNAcentral.
AUACGAAAGGUGCAAGCGUUGUUCGGAUUUACUGGGCGUAAAGAGAGUGUAGGUUGUUUAUUAAGUCGGAUGUGAAAUCCCCGGGCUCAACCUCGGAACUGCAUUCGAUACUGGUAGACUAGAGUUCGGGAGGGGUAAGCGGAAUUCCGUGUGUAGCAGUGAAAUGCGUAGAUAUACGGAGGAACACCUGAGGCGAAGGCGGCUUACUGGACCGAUACUGACACUGAGACUCGAAAGCGUGGGUAGCAAACAGGAUUAGAAACCCUAGUAGUCC